AGAGUUUGAUCCUGGCUCAGAACGAACGCUGGCGGCGUGCUUAACACAUGCAAGUCGAACGAGAAAGUUUCCUUCGGGAAAUUAGUAAAGUGGCGCAAGGGUGAGUAUCACGUGAAUAAUCUGCCCUCGAGAUCGGGAUAACAUGGUGAAAACUAUGCCAAUACCGGAUAAGACCACAUUUCAUAAGAAAUGCGGUAAAAGGAGUCUCAAUCUUCACUCGAGGAUGAGUUCGCGCAACAUUAGCUUGUUGGUGAGAUAAAAGCUCACCAAGGCUACGAUGUUUAGCCGGCCUGAGAGGGUGAACGGCCACACUGGAACUGAGACACGGUCCAGACUCCUACGGGAGGCAGCAGUGGGGAAUAUUGCGCAAUGGGCGAAAGCCUGACGCAGCAACGCCGUGUGAGCGAUGAAGGCUUUAGGGUCGUAAAGCUCUGUCAAAUGGGAAGAAUUCUGACGGUACCAUUAGAGGAAGCCCCGGCUAACUCCGUGCCAGCAGCCGCGGUAAUACGGAGGGGGCAAGCGUUGUUCGGAAUUAUUGGGCGUAAAGCGUAUGUAGGCGGCUAAAUAAGUCAGGCGUGCAAGCCCGUGGCUCAACCACGGAAUUGCGUUUGAAACUGUUUAGCUUGAGUACAGGAGAGGAAAGCGGAAUUCCCAGUGUAGCGGUGAAAUGCAUUGAUAUUGGGAAGAACAUCUGUGGCGAAGGCGGCUUUCUGGUCU
RNAcentral lists this ribosomal RNA (717 nucleotides) under uncultured bacterium. RNAcentral's name for it is "bacterial SSU rRNA". It matches the Rfam family "Bacterial small subunit ribosomal RNA", at positions 8 to 735 of the family's 1533-position model. The record is from RNAcentral.